AUCAUCUGAGCAGUAAUGGAGAGCUAGUGCACAUACCCAUUGUUCAUCUUACAACUAUUGAAGGGACAUCAAGUGCAGAUUCAUUUGGGAAAGGGAAAAAAACUGCAACAAUAUCUACUUAUAUUUCAGACAUGAACGAUGUGAUGUAUCUGAAAAUAAUGCCAUGGGAAGAGUGUGGGAGAGACACGUUUUUAUUAGAUUUGAGUGGUGAGUUGGAGGCAAAGACUCAGCUGGCAAGAAGGCAGGGAAGCCGAAGUUCUGAGGAGAAACAGAAAGACACAGGUUGAGUCUGAGGCUGAAAGAUACAAUGCAGAAGAAUCUUUUUGAAGUACAAUUAGAAUUCUUCCCCUUA
Long non-coding RNA from Polypterus senegalus (gray bichir), 352 nucleotides. RefSeq lists it as uncharacterized. NCBI's taxonomy places the organism in Eukaryota, Metazoa, Chordata, Cladistia, Polypteriformes, Polypteridae. The transcript has 3 exons. The record is from RefSeq and is a predicted model, not a curated record.